AAAAUAUGAUUUUACAAUUUUUUUUGCAUUUUAUUUGGAGUGAUUUGGAGCUCCGAAUCAAUUUUGAGGUUCAAAAACAAAAAAUAGAUAAAAGAAAAGGAAAAACAGAAGAAAACCGGCCGAACAGGACCCGACCGGUCGAACCGGACCGGACCGACCGGCUCAGCCCAGCCGAGCCGCCCGCUCUCACUGACCAGUGGACCCCGCCGUCAUCUUCAACCUCCGUCC
Molecule: long non-coding RNA, 228 nt
Filed under: Brachypodium distachyon (stiff brome)
Lineage: Eukaryota; Viridiplantae; Streptophyta; Magnoliopsida; Poales; Poaceae
Description: long non-coding RNA (BDIS_LNC001323)
Source: RNAcentral